UGGAUCCAGACUUUGAUUCUGGCUCAGGAUGAACGCUGGCGGCGUGCCUAAUACAUGCAAGUCGAACGAAACUUCUUUAUCACCGAGUGCUUGCACUCACCGAUAAAGAGUUGAGUGGCGAACGGGUGAGUAACACGUGGGCAACCUGCCCAAAAGAGGGGGAUAACACUUGGAAACAGGUGCUAAUACCGCAUAACCAUAGUUACCGCAUGGUAACUAUGUAAAAGGUGGCUAUGCUACCGCUUUUGGAUGGGCCUGCGGCGCAUUAGCUAGUUGGUGGGGUAAAGGCUUACCAAGGCAAUGAUGCGUAGCCGAACUGAGAGGUCGAUCGGCCACAUUGGGACUGAGACACGGCCCAAACUCCUACGGGAGGCAGCAGUAGGGAAUCUUCCACAAUGGGCGAAAGCCUGAUGGAGCAACGCCGCGUGGGUGAAGAAGGUCUUCGGAUCGUAAAACCCUGUUGUUAGAGAAGAAAGUGCGUGAGAGUAACUGUUCACGUUUCGACGGUAUCUAACCAGAAAGCCACGGCUAACUACGUGCCAGCAGCCGCGGUAAUACGUAGGUGGCAAGCGUUAUCCGGAUUUAUUGGGCGUAAAGGGAACGCAGGCGGUCUUUUAGGUCUGAUGUGAAAGCCUUCGGCUUAACCGGAGUAGUGCAUUGGAAACUGGGAGACUUGAGUGCAGAAGAGGAGAGUGGAACUCCAUGUGUAGCGGUGAAAUGCGUAGAUAUAUGGAAGAACACCAGUGGUGAAAGCGGCUCUCUGGUCUGUAACUGACGCUGAGGUUCGAAAGCGUGGGUAGCAAACAGGAUUAGAUACCCUGGUAGUCCACGCCGUAAACGAUGAAUGCUAAGUGUUGGAGGGUUUCCGCCCUUCAGUGCUGCAGCUAACGCAAUAAGCAUUCCGCCUGGGGAGUACGACCGCAAGGUUGCAACUCAAAUGAAUUGACGGA
This 950-nucleotide ribosomal RNA is filed under the name uncultured Bacillota bacterium. RNAcentral describes it as "bacterial SSU rRNA". It matches the Rfam family "Bacterial small subunit ribosomal RNA", at positions 1 to 917 of the family's 1533-position model. The record is from RNAcentral. Lineage: Bacteria; Bacillati; Bacillota.